RNAcentral lists this ribosomal RNA (248 nucleotides) under uncultured bacterium. RNAcentral describes it as "partial 16S ribosomal RNA". It matches the Rfam family "Bacterial small subunit ribosomal RNA", at positions 1256 to 1500 of the family's 1533-position model. The record is from RNAcentral.
UGCGAGUGUGAGCGAAUCUCAAAAAUAAACGUCUCAGUUCGGAUUGUAGUCUGCAACUCGACUACAUGAAGCUGGAAUCGCUAGUAAUCGCGGAUCAGAAUGCCGCGGUGAAUACGUUCCCGGGUCUUGUACACACCGCCCGUCACACCAUGGGAGUCAGUAACGCCCGAAGCCGGUGACCCAACCUAAACAGGAGGGAGCCGUCGAAGGCGGGACGGAUGACUGGGGUGAAGUCGUAACAAGGUAGC